AUGGCACUCGUCGUGCUCGUAAGACUAGCUCUGUGGCUUCUGGGCUCCUGCCUGGAGCUUGCCGCCCUAGUGCUCUUCCGGGGCCUCGCCCUCCUCGCCGUCGCCGCCGUCGACCUGGUCAGGCUGCCGGGACAGGCGGCAGACGCGGCGCUCAACGCGACCAAGGGCGUGCUCGAAGCGGCGGUCGAGUUCGUCUUCGGCCUAGUUUGGGACGUGGCGGUGGCCGUCGUCUCGGCGUUUCUCGAGUCGCUCUGGAGCGCGGUGGCCGGCACGGUGGAGUUCGCCGCGUCUACGGUUGUGGAGCUCAUGGAGGCAGCACGGGACGGCAGCGAGGAGGCGGCCAAAGCGCUGACGGAGGCGCUGGAGGGCGCGGCGGAUGCGGUGGCCGGCACGCUGGUGAAGCUCGCGGAGAACUACACGGAUGCUCUUGUGCACCUCUUGCAAAACCUCGUCUGA
Molecule: ribosomal RNA, 456 nt
Filed under: Triticum aestivum (bread wheat)
Lineage: Eukaryota; Viridiplantae; Streptophyta; Magnoliopsida; Poales; Poaceae
Description: partial small subunit ribosomal RNA
Source: RNAcentral